GACGAACGCUGGCGGCGUGCCUUAUACAUGCAAGUCGAACGAGAAAGCAUCCUUCGGGAUGCGAGUAAAGUGGCGAACGGGUGAGUAACACGUAGGUAACCUACCUGUGAGUUGGGGAUAACCUGCCUAACGGCGUGCUAAUACCGAAUGAAGCACUGAGAUUAGAUUUUCAGUGUUAAAGAUAGCCUUUGGUUAUCGCUCACAGAUGGGCCUGCGGCCCAUUAGCUAGUUGGUAAGGUAAUGGCUUACCAAGGCAACGAUGGGUAGCCGGCCUGAGAGGGUGGUCGGCCACACUGGGACUGAGAUACGGCCCAGACUCCUACGGGAGGCAG
Molecule: ribosomal RNA, 332 nt
Filed under: uncultured bacterium
Lineage: Bacteria
Description: bacterial SSU rRNA
Rfam family: Bacterial small subunit ribosomal RNA
Source: RNAcentral